This is a long non-coding RNA of Oxyura jamaicensis (ruddy duck), 1671 nucleotides long. RefSeq lists it as uncharacterized. NCBI's taxonomy places the organism in Eukaryota, Metazoa, Chordata, Aves, Anseriformes, Anatidae. The transcript has 2 exons. The record is from RefSeq and is a predicted model, not a curated record.
UGGCCCUGGUCCUUGACCCCAUCAGUGACUUGUGAGGAGUUGUUCUUCAUGAGUACCUCUCAACUCUGAAAGAUGAGAGAAAGUUUAAAGGGAACGUAUAGCUGGUCUUUCUUGGCAGAUACCAACAAGACAUAUCGCCUGGUAGCACACCUAAAGAAAAUGCACUUGUUCUGUCUGAAUUAUUCAAUAGCUGAGACCAACUGGUUAAUUCAAAACCCUUGAUUUUGUGAGCUUCAUUAGCAACUUCCUUGCUCUUGGAAGGAUCCUCAGGGUUACUCAGUAAGAAAUCAUUCCUGAUUUCUUCCUGCAUGUUAACACAAUGUGACGUUUAAUUGCAGUCAGUAGAAACCUGUUUAAGAGGUGGUGGAAGUUCAGAGCUGACCUACAUUCAGAGACCUAUUUAUACUUCCCUCUCUCUGCUGGCUUUCAUGGGGAGCAUCCAAAAAAUAAGGCCAGCACUUGAAGAGAACCUCCCAUGGUCAUGAAUGGACCUCUUCCCUUAAAUAGAAGUCCCUGCUCCUGGCAAAAAGUGACCUGCCUGCUGUCAAGUAUCUCAGCUGGUUCAGAAGGAAAUCUUUGCAGAGAUGGUCUGUGCUACAGCCCUUAUGCUGACCUUGCACAAGGGGAAAACAGGAGCUUGCUUUGCACUGUGUAGAAAAAAUGACUCGAAUGUGAAUAAAAAUGAAAUAGCCCUCUUUUCAGUGAAUUACUACCAUACAUGCUUAUUUUUCAGCCGUUUCCUGAAAGUAAGUUCUGCAGUAUACACAAUAUAAAACUUGAGGAAAUUACAGCAACACACCAAUUGCAGGGUAAUUAUGCUGGGAGAACUGGAAAGGUGGGCAGCUCCCAGAGAUGUGGCUGUAUACCUGUCAAUGGUCCUAAAGCUCUAUAAAGGUCAUAUGACUGAAAUUACUCACUAGAAGACUUGUGUUGUUUUCUUCCUUUCCAAAUCAGAGGGCAAACAGGCUCAUCUAACCUUGACAUCUUUCAGAUUAACCAGAAAAACCCUCAAGGACUAGUCAUAGCUUCUUAUUCUGAAUGGCAAACCCAAUAGAUCUGCAGUACCGCUUGAUUUUAGCAGUGCCCAUCAGCUGAUAUUUUUGGUGUAUAGGUUCUACUGUUUCAAGUCUUGCAGGCAAACCUCCCCUCCCUGCCCUGCUCUCCUGCUCGUUCCUCCUCAUGCAGGCUGCUCGUCAUAUGGAGUCUUUCUAGCAACUGGAGCAAGAUCUUGUGAUGACCAGCUGGUAAAAAGAAGGAAAGUACAUUGUGUUCCUGGGCUCUCAGCUUUGCAGGGCUUACUGUCUUUGAAGACCGCACUGUUAAAUGGUAUUGAACAUCUGCCUGUUGCUACAAAUUGGCUUUUUACAAGGCAACGUUGGAGUUUUCUGGAUGUACAGUAAUUUAGAUAUUUGUUCCUUGUAAUGAGGGCAAAGACUGAGCAUCCCAUCUUACUGGGGACUGUUAUAAACUCUGUGCAAGACAGAUGCCAAGACCAUCUGCUUGAAGAAUGACAGCCUUCUUACCAGCAAGUUGCGGGAGGAUAUGUGGGAUAUUUCCCCCUCUCACAUAUGAAGAGUCCAAGAAGGAGAUGGCACAAGGCCAAAAGAACGAUCAAGUUCCCGAGGCAGAGCUCCAAGGAUGAUGGAGAUAGCUCACUUACCCGUAAACCCC